Potamilus streckersoni is the source of this 74-nucleotide non-coding RNA. NCBI's taxonomy places the organism in Eukaryota, Metazoa, Mollusca, Bivalvia, Unionida, Unionidae. The record is from the annotation of a GenBank genome assembly.
GCUCCAGUGGCCUAGUGGUUAGAGCGUCCGCCUCGGAUGCAGGAGGUCCUGGGUUCGAUCCCUCGGUUGAGUCA